GUUAUUUUGGCAGAGAUAUAUGUGUUGGAUUUAGGAUCCUAUAAGAUAGAGUAAUCUAUA
RNAcentral lists this transfer RNA (60 nucleotides) under Austinixa gorei. Its description in RNAcentral is "tRNA-Leu". Lineage: Eukaryota; Metazoa; Arthropoda; Malacostraca; Decapoda; Pinnotheridae. The record is from RNAcentral.